Molecule: ribosomal RNA, 792 nt
Filed under: Streptomyces sp.
Lineage: Bacteria; Bacillati; Actinomycetota; Actinomycetes; Kitasatosporales; Streptomycetaceae
Description: bacterial SSU rRNA
Rfam family: Bacterial small subunit ribosomal RNA
Source: RNAcentral
CGAUGAAGCCCUUCGGGGUGGAUUAGUGGCGAACGGGUGAGUAACACGUGGGCAAUCUGCCCUUCACUCUGGGACAAGCCCUGGAAACGGGGUCUAAUACCGGAUACGACGCGCUCGGGCAUCCGAUGUGCGUGGAAAGCUCCGGCGGUGAAGGAUGAGCCCGCGGCCUAUCAGCUUGUUGGUGAGGUAACGGCUCACCAAGGCGACGACGGGUAGCCGGCCUGAGAGGGCGACCGGCCACACUGGGACUGAGACACGGCCCAGACUCCUACGGGAGGCAGCAGUGGGGAAUAUUGCACAAUGGGCGAAAGCCUGAUGCAGCGACGCCGCGUGAGGGAUGACGGCCUUCGGGUUGUAAACCUCUUUCAGCAGGGAAGAAGCGAAAGUGACGGUACCUGCAGAAGAAGCGCCGGCUAACUACGUGCCAGCAGCCGCGGUAAUACGUAGGGCGCGAGCGUUGUCCGGAAUUAUUGGGCGUAAAGAGCUCGUAGGCGGUCUGUCGCGUCGGAUGUGAAAGCCCGGGGCUUAACCCCGGGUCUGCAUUCGAUACGGGCAGACUAGAGUGUGGUAGGGGAGAUCGGAAUUCCUGGUGUAGCGGUGAAAUGCGCAGAUAUCAGGAGGAACACCGGUGGCGAAGGCGGAUCUCUGGGCCAUUACUGACGCUGAGGAGCGAAAGCGUGGGGAGCGAACAGGAUUAGAUACCCUGGUAGUCCACGCCGUAAACGGUGGGAACUAGGUGUUGGCGACAUUCCACGUCGUCGGUGCCGCAGCUAACGCAUUAAGUUCCCCGCC